RNAcentral lists this ribosomal RNA (329 nucleotides) under uncultured eukaryote. Its description in RNAcentral is "partial 18S ribosomal RNA". It matches the Rfam family "Eukaryotic small subunit ribosomal RNA", at positions 1470 to 1796 of the family's 1831-position model. The record is from RNAcentral.
CCCUUAGAUGUUCUGGGCUGCACGCGCGCUACACUGAUGCGCUCAACGAGUUUAUAACCUUGUCCGGCAGGAUUGGGUAAUCUUUUUAAAACGCAUCGUGAUGGGGAUAGAUUAUUGCAAUUAUUAAUCUUCAACGAGGAAUGCCUAGUAAACGCAAGUCAUCAGCUUGCAUUGAUUACGUCCCUGCCCUUUGUACACACCGCCCGUCGCUCCUACCGAUUGAAUGAUCCGAUGAAUAUCAUGGAUUGAGGAUGCAAGCAGGUUCGCCUGUCUUCAUCUUCGAGAAGUGAAGUAAAUCUUAUCAUUUAGAGGAAGGAGAAGUCGUAACA